RNAcentral lists this ribosomal RNA (504 nucleotides) under uncultured bacterium. RNAcentral's name for it is "bacterial SSU rRNA". It matches the Rfam family "Bacterial small subunit ribosomal RNA", at positions 12 to 523 of the family's 1533-position model. The record is from RNAcentral.
UUUGAUCCUGGCUCAGGACGAACGCUGGCGGCGUGCCUAAUACAUGCAAGUCGAGCGGAACCUUUGGAGCUUGCUCCAUUGGUUUAGCGGCGGACGGGUGAGUAACACGUGGGCAACCUGCCCUGCAGAUCGGGAUAACUCCGGGAAACCGGUGCUAAUACCGAAUAGUUUUUUGCCCCUCCUGGGGCGAAACGGAAAGACGGUUUCGGCUGUCACUGCAGGAUGGGCCCGCGGCGCAUUAGCUAGUUGGUGGGGUAAUGGCCCACCAAGGCGACGAUGCGUAGCCGACCUGAGAGGGUGAUCGGCCACACUGGGACUGAGACACGGCCCAGACUCCUACGGGAGGCAGCAGUAGGGAAUCUUCCGCAAUGGACGCAAGUCUGACGGAGCAAUGCCGCGUGAGCGAAGAAGGCCUUCGGGUCGUAAAGCUCUGUACAGGGGGAAGAACAAAUGACGGUACCCCUAUAAUAGCCCCGGCUAACUACGUGCCAGCAGCCGCGGUAA